AAACAACUGUCUGAAGCAUUCAGAUUGCCUAUGCUCUGAUUAGACAAUGCAUAGCUACAAAAAGGAACACUGGUAAGGAAAAUGUGAAAACCCUUUGCUGAUGCAAACCUACACAAGUUCAGCAUGACUAAAAUUAGAAAGAAAAAGGAGGAAAUCCGGACUUCAUUAAAAUCAGUGGAUGUUUCUGAGCAGAAUUUCCAUUAAUUAAUUUCAGUGGGGCCAGGAUUUCAUCCCAAAGAAGAAUGUGCUCCUACGCAAGACUGCAUCAAAAAGAAGAUAUUUCUUUCCGAGUCCCUGCGUGAGCCACAGACCCAGAUACCUUGCUGGAUGCAGAAGUUAUUGGCGCAUGAAGUAGACCAAGGGACUAAUGAUGAUGAAAGGAGAAGCAGAUCUGCCCUCUUGUGUACAAGGUAUCUACUGCAUCUAUUCCUAAAAAUCUGAAAUGAUUACACUCCCUGUAACAAUAAAUGACAAUAUUAUACAAAUGUUUAGAAUGCA
This 498-nucleotide long non-coding RNA is filed under the name Struthio camelus australis. Its description in RNAcentral is "lncRNA (ENSSCUG00000008137.1)". Lineage: Eukaryota; Metazoa; Chordata; Aves; Struthioniformes; Struthionidae. The record is from RNAcentral.